CAAAUCCCAAAACAUGCCCAUCCUGCGGCUACACAUAUUAAAACACACCCCAUUUCACUAUUCAUCAUCGAUGGUGCUAAAAUUGGCUGUACAACUCGUUUCUCAACAAGCACAAACACAACAAGUGACAAGAAUCCAAUUAUUAGUAAUAUAUAUACAUAUGGGACUUGCCAGCCUACUACUGGACCCUGGUUCCAUGAAAAAUUGAUUAGAACUAAACCGGAAACACCAAAGAAAGCCCCCAAGUAAUCAAACUUUUGCUUUUCCUCAACUUCAUCAGCUUCUAUGUGUGGUAUAGCAAAGUAACCAAUAAUCGCAAAUACUAUACACACAAUCGCUGUUGUCCAAUAUGUCCAUGGCCACCAGGAAAGUUGUGCAAAAAUACCAGAAAAAACUGAUCCCAAGAGAAAUCCAUUAGGAGCUGUAGCCCCAAAUAAAGCAAAUAUUAAAUUUUUCUUUUUCCCUGGUGGAUAUACUCGACCGAGAAGUGCAAGAGCAUUUGGCAGUAAGAAUGCAGGAGCAAUUCCGGUGAGCGCCCUACAUACAUCAAACAUAAUCACUGAUUUGGCGUAGUAGCUAAAUCCCGAAAUAAGGGACCAUAUGCAAAACCAAAUAUACCCUAACACAAACAUUUUCUUAUGUCCAUAAAUAUCACCUAGUCGACCCGCGAUUAAAAUAAAAGUGCCUACAGUUAAACUGUAUGAGGCAGGAAACCAACUUAGUUGACCAGGGUUUGUCGUACCCAGUGAUUUACCUAUGAUAUUGUUUGGAGCAAUUGAUUGACCUAAACCAGCUUGAGUCAUCAAUUGAGCAGUACAUGCUAUAAAUACAAACACUAUUUCGUGAAACAGUGACAUGGAAAUCUUCUGUACAGGAAGAGGAGUAUCUUCAUUUUGUACUAAGUCUUUAGACGAUUCUUUUUCCAUAUUGCGAGUAUUGUAUGUUCCUAAGGAUUUAACAUAAUUCAUCAUUUUUUACUUUGUUA
This is a non-coding RNA of Schizosaccharomyces pombe (fission yeast), 985 nucleotides long. NCBI's taxonomy places the organism in Eukaryota, Fungi, Ascomycota, Schizosaccharomycetes, Schizosaccharomycetales, Schizosaccharomycetaceae. The record is from the annotation of a GenBank genome assembly.